This 101-nucleotide microRNA precursor is filed under the name Marmota monax (woodchuck). Lineage: Eukaryota; Metazoa; Chordata; Mammalia; Rodentia; Sciuridae. The record is from RNAcentral.
AAUGGAAUUGCUGAGCUAUAUGGUAAUUCAAUAUCUAGCAUUUUGAGACUGCCAAAUGGUUUCCCAAAGUGGCUGCACCAUUUUAUAUUCCCACCAGCAGU